AUUGAACGCUGGCGGCAUGCUUUACACAUGCAAGUCGAACGGCAGCGGGGGCUUCGGCCUGCCGGCGAGUGGCGAACGGGUGAGUAAUGCAUCGGAACGUGCCCAUGUCGUGGGGGAUAACGUAGCGAAAGCUACGCUAAUACCGCAUACGUCCUGAGGGAGAAAGCGGGGGGAUCUUAGGACCUCGCGCGAUUGGAGCGGCCGAUGUCGGAUUAGCUAGUAGGUGGGGUAAAGGCCCACCUAGGCGACGAUCCGUAGCGGGUCUGAGAGGAUGAUCCGCCACACUGGGACUGAGACACGGCCCAGACUCCUACGGGAGGCAGCAGUGGGGAAUUUUGGACAAUGGGCGCAAGCCUGAUCCAGCCAUGCCGCGUGAGUGAAGAAGGCCUUCGGUUGGUUAAAGGCUCUUUCGGUCCGGGAAGGAAAUACGUGGUCUCUAACAUAGGUCAUGGAUGACGGUACCGGACUAAGAAG
Molecule: ribosomal RNA, 474 nt
Filed under: uncultured bacterium
Lineage: Bacteria
Description: bacterial SSU rRNA
Rfam family: Bacterial small subunit ribosomal RNA
Source: RNAcentral